GCUCGCAUGGCCAAGUUGGUAAGGCGCGUCACUAGUAAUAUUACACGACCUAGUCCCCCGGCAAUGUUCUGGGUGAGGGCAAUGACGGACGUUGUUGUGAUGACGAGAUCAACGGUUCAAAUCCGUUUGUGAGCA
This is a non-coding RNA of Geopyxis carbonaria, 135 nucleotides long. The record is from the annotation of a GenBank genome assembly. NCBI's taxonomy places the organism in Eukaryota, Fungi, Ascomycota, Pezizomycetes, Pezizales, Tarzettaceae.